This is an RNA transcript of Condylostylus longicornis, 714 nucleotides long. It is a transcript of the gene named peptidyl-prolyl cis-trans isomerase FKBP2, with no coding region annotated. NCBI's taxonomy places the organism in Eukaryota, Metazoa, Arthropoda, Insecta, Diptera, Dolichopodidae. The transcript has 3 exons. The record is from RefSeq and is a predicted model, not a curated record.
UAAAAAGUACCCUACAUACAAACAAAUACAAAAUUUGUACACAAAAUUUUUGAAAACUUUAAUAAAUUUAAAAAUUAUAAUCAUAAAGAAUUUAUCAUGAAAUUUAUUUUAAUUUUAUUAUUCACAUGUACUGCUAGUAUUUCAUGCAAAGACGAACCUAAAGUUCAAAUUGGCAUAAAAAGAAGAGUUGAUUGUAAUGAUAGUUCAAAAACAAGAAGAGGAGACUUUGUACAUGUUCACUAUAAGGGAACCCUGCAAAAAGAUGGCAUUGAAUUUGAUUCUAGUUAUCCAAGAGGUAAUGCGUUCACAUUUACAUUGGGUAGCAAUCAAGUGAUUAAAGGUUGGGACCAAGGUUUACUCGGAAUGUGUGAAGGCGAAAAACGACGGCUAGUUAUACCGCCAGAAUUGGGAUAUGGUAAAUCAGGUAGUGGGAGCAAAAUUCCGCCAGAUUCGACAUUAAUAUUUGAAGUAGAGCUACUUAAAAUAGAGAAGCGUCAAGAACUUUAAAUUUAAAGUUAAAGCUUGUGUAGAAGCAAAAAUUUCACAUUAUAUGCCAUAAAAUAUUAAAAACAAGAAAUUAAAGUUAUUGCCGCUCUUUUAUAUGGUUUAAGUUCAUCUGUUCCAAAACCUGGUAUCCACAUAUUCCAUUUUCUUUCUAGAUGUAGUUGAACGUCUUUUACUUCAAUCUUUGAAUUUUUUCUGUGUUUCGCAUAU